GCUCGCUCCCUGAUUGGCGGAGAGAGCGCGGGACAGACUCCUGGCGUUCUGGGCAAGGGAAAAGAAGUCGCGGGGACGGAGUCCAGCCCUGAGGUGAGAUGGAAAGUGAACAAGAGCAGUGACAGCGUGAAUCCUGUUGAUGCCAGGCAAGAGCUGCCCAACUGGGACGAGAGUAACCGUCUCUGUCGGUGAGAUAAGCAUCCCAGACAGAGAACCAGC
Molecule: long non-coding RNA, 219 nt
Organism: Gopherus evgoodei (Goodes thornscrub tortoise)
Lineage: Eukaryota; Metazoa; Chordata; Testudines; Testudinidae
Exons: 7
Source: RefSeq, a predicted model, not a curated record